RNAcentral lists this long non-coding RNA (666 nucleotides) under Solanum tuberosum (potato). RNAcentral describes it as "long non-coding RNA (STUB_LNC007431)". Lineage: Eukaryota; Viridiplantae; Streptophyta; Magnoliopsida; Solanales; Solanaceae. The record is from RNAcentral.
UGCUGCUAACGGCAUGAUAUGGUCUUUCCCCUAUUUUGUAAAGUCAGAACCAUCUGUUCAGCGCCUCUAUAGUAGUAAAUGUUUUUCUCUUUGUAUCAACUAGUGAUAUGCUGUUUGUUGUUAGUUUAUGUACUAGGGAUGAUGACCUUUGCACAAAUUCUCACCUCCUAUUAUGUAUUCAAAGUAACAAAAAAGUAGAGGGAGAGAGAUUUUUUUAAAGCUAGAGACUUGAUGCUUGUAGACCAUGCUCUUCUUUCUAGCUGGAAAAAUUGAUAGAGUGCUCUGCUUUUACUUCAUGCUGAGUAGGUUGGGCACAGCUUCAGCAUAUUUAUCACUUUUUGAAGUUGAAUGAGUUGUGUUGGAGUGGAAUCGAUGUUUGCAUUCUCACUGCAGUUGCCUGUGUUACUCACUUCAAUGCUCUCUAUCUCUCCUCGGAGCUAUGGUUGGACUGUUGAAUGUAUAAUUACGUCAUAUUGAACUUUCCAUAUGUGGAUCUGUACUUGUAUAUAUAUUUAUUUGUUUGCUACAAAAUUCUAUGGGGGAAUCACUAUGCAAUCACCAUUUAAUUUCCUAAUUGAAUCUGCAUGCUUAUGUUUGGUCUUUGAUAAAUUUAUGAAGUGUUGUAUGGCAAUAAAUUGUGUUUUCUCAUGUUUCCAAAAGAUUGUG